RNAcentral lists this transfer RNA (72 nucleotides) under Camelus bactrianus (Bactrian camel). It matches the Rfam family "tRNA". Rfam says of the family: Transfer RNA (tRNA) molecules are approximately 80 nucleotides in length. RNAcentral also lists the same sequence under 2 other names. Lineage: Eukaryota; Metazoa; Chordata; Mammalia; Artiodactyla; Camelidae. The record is from Rfam by way of RNAcentral.
GAAGGUACAGCUCAGUGGUAGAGUGAGCGCUUAGCAUGCACAAGGUCCUGGGUUCAAUACCCAGUACCUCCA